This 275-nucleotide long non-coding RNA is filed under the name Nicotiana benthamiana. RNAcentral describes it as "long non-coding RNA (NBEN_LNC001548)". Lineage: Eukaryota; Viridiplantae; Streptophyta; Magnoliopsida; Solanales; Solanaceae. The record is from RNAcentral.
AUACCUCAUCUUUGUUGUCUUCUUGUGCCAUAAGGCAAAGAUUUGCUGCUUCGUCUUCUUCCACUUCGCUUGACUCAUCUCCGGAGUCGCCUCCCCAAGAAAUGUAUGCACGUUGCUUUUUAAUAGGUUUCUUCUCCUUUUUUAUGUUUGGGCAAUUUGAUUUGAUGUGCCCGGUUUCACCAGAUUCAUAGCACUUGAUUUGUUCGCCUUGAUUUUUGCCCUUGCGUUCAUACUCCUUGCGCAUGAGCUUUUGAAAUCUUUUGAUAACGAGUCCA